RNAcentral lists this ribosomal RNA (338 nucleotides) under uncultured Sneathia sp. RNAcentral's name for it is "bacterial SSU rRNA". It matches the Rfam family "Bacterial small subunit ribosomal RNA", at positions 169 to 524 of the family's 1533-position model. The record is from RNAcentral. Lineage: Bacteria; Fusobacteriati; Fusobacteriota; Fusobacteriia; Fusobacteriales; Leptotrichiaceae.
CUGGAUAAGUUAGUAUAUCGCAUGAUAUGCAAAUGAAAGCUACGGCGACUAAAGGAGAGCUUUGCGUCCUAUUAGCUAGUUGGUAGGUAAGAGCUUACCAAGGCGAUGAUAGGUAGCCGGCCUGAGAGGGUGGACGGCCACAAGGGGACUGAGAUACGGCCCUUACUCCUACGGGAGGCAGCAGUGGGGAAUAUUGGACAAUGGGGGGAACUCUGAUCCAGCAAUUCUGUGUGUGUGAAGAAGGUUUUAGGACUGUAAAACACUUUUAGUAGGGAAGAAAAAAUGACGGUACCUACAGAAGAAGCAACGGCUAAAUACGUGCCAGCAGCCGCGGUAAU